This 495-nucleotide ribosomal RNA is filed under the name uncultured bacterium. Its description in RNAcentral is "partial 16S ribosomal RNA". It matches the Rfam family "Bacterial small subunit ribosomal RNA", at positions 28 to 507 of the family's 1533-position model. The record is from RNAcentral.
GACGAACGCUGGCGGCGUGCCUAAUACAUGCAAGUAGAACGCUGAAGGAGGAGCUUGCUCUUCUGGAUGAGUUGCGAACGGGUGAGUAACGCGUAGGUAACCUGCCUGGUAGCGGGGGAUAACUAUUGGAAACGAUAGCUAAUACCGCAUAACAGUAGAUGUUACAUGACAUUUGCUUAAAAGGUGCAAUUGCACCACUACCAGAUGGACCUGCGUUGUAUUAGCUAGUUGGUGGGGUAACGGCUCACCAAGGCGACGAUACAUAGCCGACCUGAGAGGGGGAUCGGCCACACUGGGACUGAGACACGGCCCAGACUCCUACGGGAGGCAGCAGUAGGGAAUCUUCGGCAAUGGACGGAAGGCUGACCGAGCAACGCCGCGUGAGUGAAGAAGGGUUUCGGAUCGUAAAGCUCUGUUGUAAGAGAAGAACGAGUGUGAGAGUGGAAAGUUCACACUGUGACGGUAUCUUACCAGAAAGGGACGGCUAACUACGUG